RNAcentral lists this ribosomal RNA (433 nucleotides) under uncultured bacterium. Its description in RNAcentral is "partial 16S ribosomal RNA". It matches the Rfam family "Bacterial small subunit ribosomal RNA", at positions 29 to 507 of the family's 1533-position model. The record is from RNAcentral.
AACGAACGCUGGCGGCAUGCCUAACACAUGCAAGUCGAACGAGACCUUCGGGGCUAGUGGCGCACGGGUGCAUAACGCGUGGGAACCUGCCCUUAGGUUCGGAAUAACUCCCCGACAGGGGUGCUAAUACCGGAUAAUGUCUUCGGACCAAAGAUUUAUCGACUUUGGAUGGGCCCGCGUUGGAUUAGCUAGUUGGUAGGGUAAAAGCCUACCAAGGCGACGAUCCAUAGAUGGUCUGAGAGGGUGAUCAGCCACACUGGGACUGAGACACGGCCCAGACUCCUGCGAGAGGCAGCAGUGGGUAAUAGUAGACAAUGGGCGAAAGACUGAUCCAGCAAUGCCGCGUGAGUGAUGAAGGCCUUAGGGUUGUAAAGCUCUUUUACCCGGGAUGAUAAUGACAGUACCGGGAGAAUAAGCGCCGGCUGACUCCGUG